This 413-nucleotide ribosomal RNA is filed under the name uncultured bacterium. RNAcentral's name for it is "bacterial SSU rRNA". It matches the Rfam family "Bacterial small subunit ribosomal RNA", at positions 355 to 767 of the family's 1533-position model. The record is from RNAcentral.
UAAGGAAUAUUGCUCAAUGGGAGAAAUCCUGAAGCAGCAACGCCGCGUGGAGGAUGAAGGGUCUAUGACUUGUAAACUCCUGUAAAGAAGGAAAAAAUUCCCAUUUGAUGGGAGAUGAUGGUACUUCUGGAGUAAGCCCCGGCUAACUACGUGCCAGCAGCCGCGGUAAUACGUAGGGGGCAAGCGUUGUCCGGAUUUACUGGGUGUAAAGGGUGCUCAGGCGGAUUUGUAAGUCAGAGGUGAAAUCUUACAGCUUAACUGUGAAACUGCCUUUGAUACUGCAAGCCUAGAGUAUGGAAGAGAGUGAUGGAAUAUCUGGUGUAGCAGUGAAAUGCGUAGAUAUCAGAUAGAACACCGAUGGCGAAGGCAGUCACUUGGUCCAUUACUGACGCUAAAGCACGAAAGCGUGGGUA